UUGAAUUUUAAUGAAGAGUUUGGUUGUAGCUGGCCCAUUCAUUUGGGCAUGUGCACACCUUCCUCUUUCACCCCACACACACCUGUGAACCUGUGAGACAGAGAUGGGGAAUUUACUUGCUGCUUUUUGGAAUACAAAGGCAAUAGGUUAUUGGACCCCCCCUCUGUCUACUCAAUUAAUAUAAACUCAAUUUAUUUUAAAACGAAUGUAAUGGAUGUAACACAUCUCAUAC
Molecule: unclassified non-coding RNA, 232 nt
Filed under: soil metagenome
Description: partial internal transcribed spacer 1
Source: RNAcentral